Molecule: long non-coding RNA, 2536 nt
Organism: Homo sapiens (human)
Lineage: Eukaryota; Metazoa; Chordata; Mammalia; Primates; Hominidae
Gene: MIR924HG
Product: MIR924 host gene
Source: Ensembl
GUGGAACUUGGGAUUCGAACGGCAGGCGGGAAGUGCUCUAGCAGGGGAGUCUGACCUUGUGAGGGAAUACCUGUGUCCCCCCUUUUUUCCCCUUUUUACCCAAUAAAACCCUGCCUUACUCACCCUUUAAAUCAUCUGCGAGCCUGAAUUUUCAUGGCCGUGGGACGGACAAGAACUUUAUCUUCAGCUGAACUAAGAAAAAGUCCUGCAACAUUUUUGGCGCGCAAUGUGGGGGCACCAGAAGCGGGCACCGUUGAGCUGUUGCAACUGUUCUGCUGGAGCCUUAUGUAUGUGGUUGAAACCACCUGUACUACUGGAAUGAAAGCACCUUUACAGAAGAGGCAAUGCAAGUUGUAUUCAUCACAUGUGUAGAAUGAAUUAAGAUUUAUGCCAGUUGCAAAGAAGAAUAUUGGCUCACUAUUUUUCCUCUGGGCAUGUGGAAAUGUAAAUCAGUCCAUGUUACUCACCUCGGAGAAGCAGAAGUACGAUUUACUAUUGUUGCUUGCUUACUUACUCUUAUCAAUUUCUAUGAGAGCUCCCCUCUCCACUGAGGGCUGAUUUCAUCACUCAACAAAAUUCUCCGAAUUCACCAUCCUUCAGUUCAUCCACAUGACCUCAUUCCUCUUGGGCACCGGACAAGAAUUUGGGAUGCACCAAAUGCAGGGGUACAAGCAAUUUUCCAGUCUUGACCCUUUAUCUGUUGACCAAGCUAAGGCAGAAACCAGCUAAAUUCUGGAUUUAAUCUUGAGCAGCAAAAAAGAUCAGCUUUUGAAGUGGAUCUGCUUUUAUUCUUGGCAAAAGUUCAGCGGAGACCAACCAGAGUGGUGACAAAGUUCUUCAACAUCAAGCCAAAUGUAAUACAAGGAAUUACGGAUAGUGCUUAAUCUAAAAUAAAGAAAUUCCACAUCUCCCUAAAAAGUUAUUGGCUUCAAGAAUGAAAACAAAAGAAGCAUAUUUGUCUCAAUCCAAACACAGACACCAGAAAGACAAACCAGGAGUAUACAGCAAAGUAGCUUGCAGGAUAAUACAUUGAAAAAUGUAAUUGUGCAUAAAUCAUGCACAAAGUAGAAACCACAAAUUCUGUAUUUGGCAAGGCUUCGGUUCCUUUGCAUAAUUCUUUCAUUUUCAUCUUGCUGCUUCCAUUCUCUUUUCAUCAAAAAAAGCUACAUAAAACAAAGACAUAAACUGUAUGCAAUUAAAAUGAGAAAAUAGCUGAAAGGAAUGUAUUGAUAAUUAUGUUAAAAUCUAUACCAUAAGUAUUCUUGCAUUGUUAAGCAUCUAAUUUUUCAUGUGUUGACAUCAGCAUCUCAGUUCUCUCUAACAUCUGAAAGCUUUUUUUUUUAAGGCAACUUCUUUUAGAGUGAACAAACUUAUGUACCACCGAGUUGACAAAAGUAUAACUAUAUCCUACAGAAAGAGACCUCAAGUAAACCUCCAGCAGCCAUCUGGACUUCCAUGAAAACAGAACAAUCAGUGAGAUGCAGAGCUUGGAGGAGACAGUUUCCAUAGACUGAAGCACGUGCUGAAGCAAAGUUCACACUUGCAGGAUUAGAAGAGGUUGACCGAAAGAAGGAAGGACAUGGACAGCUAUGUUGUUGUGGAGUCCUGUUUUAUAGUCAUAACCUUGAGUCAAGUGAGUUUGUCUGGACAGACAGAGCUUGUUGCCUUUACUUAUAGGGAAGGCACCGGACACAGACAGCCUCAAGGACAUUUGUUCUAGCCUUUCAGUAUCCUUUCUCUUAAUUAUCUCACCUCAUCCAUGAAGCUGGUAUGUACGAUUUUUCCUUUCUUUCUCAAUCCUUUAAAAAAUUAAAGCUCUAAAUCUCAUUUCCACUUAGAUUUUAAUGUUGCAUUGUAACUUAAGAUAAAACCUUGCUCUGAUGUUAAAAAUACUAAAGUAAGAAGCAAUAUGGCAUAGUGCUUAUGAGCAGGACUACAUAGUUCUUUCUGAAUACAAAUCUCAGAUAAAACACUAUCUCAGUGAUCAACCAGGUUAAGCAACCUUUUUAGUGCCUCAAUUAUUCCAUUUGUAAAAUUGUAAUAAUGAUAGUACUAACCUAUAAGAUUGUGGUGAGGAUUAAGUCAGAUAAUACAAAAGAAGCAUUUAGAGUAUUUCCUGGCAUUAUCUACCAUUUAUUGAAUUUUUAUGGUUAAGAAGAAUAAGGAAAAGCAGAAGAAAAGGAAAAGAGAAAAAAUACAUAAGAAGAAGGAAGAGUGGUAAGCUCUAGUAAAUUACAACAAACGGUAACGUAGAAAACAUUUGUUAGCCCUUAAUAUAGGCCAGGCACUGUGUUCAAUGCUUAAACCUCAUUACUGUUCUUUGAAGUGGAUAACAUUAUUCCUUCCAUUUUAAAGAAAGGAAUACUAAAGACAACUUUGUCAAUAUUAUUCAUGUAAUAAAUGACAGAAUUUGACCAAGACAAUAGAGAAUGAACUCUUAAUCACUAUAUUGUUUUAUUUUUUGAAAAUAGAUUUUAAGUUCUUAUUAAAUGUUAAUGACUCACAUCAAAAUAAAGCCAAUCAAAAUUGACAGCAA